RNAcentral lists this long non-coding RNA (311 nucleotides) under Salvia miltiorrhiza (redroot sage). RNAcentral describes it as "long non-coding RNA (SMIL_LNC007467)". Lineage: Eukaryota; Viridiplantae; Streptophyta; Magnoliopsida; Lamiales; Lamiaceae. The record is from RNAcentral.
AGGAUCCAGUCAAUAGAAACGUAGUCAACUGCGAUCCGAAGCUGAAGAGCAUUCUGUUGGGCAAGUCCACGAUCGAUCUCACCGAACUUCCCCCGUUGAUCAAGCUGCAUUUUCCAAAGCAGCCUAAGUGAUUCCUGGAAGUUGAGAUUUUCUUUCAAGAUUCAUUAGAAUCUGUUUCCAUAUUGGUUGGAGUGUUGGAUUUCAGUUUUAGUAAUAUCACAUCUGUUUUUCUUUUUUGCCCUUUAAAAAUAUUGGCUGGCAGAAAGCAUUAUAUUUAUAUAUGUUCUUGUAGUUCUCUUCUUUUAUUGAUG